This 85-nucleotide transfer RNA is filed under the name Vibrio parahaemolyticus. RNAcentral's name for it is "tRNA-Tyr". It matches the Rfam family "tRNA". From Rfam's summary of the family: Transfer RNA (tRNA) molecules are approximately 80 nucleotides in length. Their secondary structure includes four short double-helical elements and three loops (D, anti-codon, and T loops). Further hydrogen bonds mediate the characteristic L-shaped molecular structure. tRNAs have two regions of fundamental functional importance: the anti-codon, which is responsible for specific mRNA codon recognition, and the 3' end, to which the tRNAs corresponding amino acid is attached (by aminoacyl-tRNA synthetases). tRNAs cope with the degeneracy of the genetic code in two manners: having more than one tRNA (with a specific anti-codon) for a particular amino acid; and 'wobble' base-pairing, i.e. permitting non-standard base-pairing at the 3rd anti-codon position. RNAcentral also lists the same sequence under 2 other names. Lineage: Bacteria; Pseudomonadati; Pseudomonadota; Gammaproteobacteria; Vibrionales; Vibrionaceae. The record is from RNAcentral.
GGAGGGGUUCCCGAGUGGCCAAAGGGAGCAGACUGUAAAUCUGUCGGCACUGCCUUCGAUGGUUCGAAUCCGUCCCCCUCCACCA